GUUGAACGCUGGCGGCAGGCCUAACACAUGCAAGUCGAGCGGAUGAAGGGAGCUUGCUCCUGGAUUCAGCGGCGGACGGGUGAGUAAUGCCUAGGAAUCUGCCUGGUAGUGGGGGAUAACGUCCGGAAACGGGCGCUAAUACCGCAUACGUCCUGAGGGAGAAAGUGGGGGAUCUUCGGGCCUCACGCUAUCAGAUGAGCCUAGGUCGGAUUAGCUAGUUGGUGGGGUAAAGGCCUACCAAGGCGACGAUCCGUAACUGGUCUGAGAGGAUGAUCAGUCACACUGGAACUGAGACACGGUCCAGACUCCUACGGGAGGCAGCAGUGGGGAAUAUUGGACAAUGGGCGAAAGCCUGAUCCAGCCAUGCCGCGUGUGUGAAGAAGGUCUUCGGAUUGUAAAGCACUUUAAGUUGGGAGGAAGGGCAGUAAGUUAAUACCUUGCUGUUUUGACGUUACCAACAGAAUAAGCACCGGCUAACUUCGUG
RNAcentral lists this ribosomal RNA (484 nucleotides) under uncultured bacterium. Its description in RNAcentral is "partial 16S ribosomal RNA". It matches the Rfam family "Bacterial small subunit ribosomal RNA", at positions 28 to 507 of the family's 1533-position model. The record is from RNAcentral.